GGGGCCGACUGGUUUUGACAGCGAGACCAAUGGCAUUGUAAGCAUGUCGAGCUAUGGGAAUGAUGCUCGUUAAUUCAAUAUCCCACACUUUUAAAUGGCGAGUCUAACUACGCUUUAGCUGCUUAAUCGACUGAAUUAUAGUAAGUCUUAGCCUAGUCGCGCGAGGCGCGAAAGCUGAAUGUUCCUGAAUAGCCCUUGUUGACGGCGAUUCAUUUAGGAGCACCAUAAAAGUCAACACCGGAUUGUUUGUGCUUCGGUAACAGUCCUAAACUAAAGAAGCUAAGCGUACGAUUGGCAGUCUUAGGUCGGUCGUACGUCGACAACCAAACUAAGACUAAGCAUGUAGAAAGCUCUGUUAUUGCUUGUUUGGACGAGGGUUCGAAUCCCUCCGGCUCCACUU
Molecule: transfer-messenger RNA, 400 nt
Filed under: Flavobacteriaceae
Lineage: Bacteria; Pseudomonadati; Bacteroidota; Flavobacteriia; Flavobacteriales
Also listed under: 1 other name
Description: Croceivirga sp012272815 Standard tmRNA
Rfam family: transfer-messenger RNA
About the family: Bacterial tmRNA, also known as 10Sa RNA or SsrA, is named for its dual tRNA and mRNA-like properties. Its role is to liberate the mRNA from a stalled ribosome.
Source: RNAcentral